GACGAACGCUGGCGGCGUGCCUAACACAUGCAAGUCGAGCGGAGUCGAUCGACGGAAGCCUUCGGGCGGAAGAUGGUUGACUUAGCGGCGGAUGGGUGAGUAACGCGUGGGCAACCUGCCUCGAAGACCGGGAUAACAGCCCGAAAGGGCUGCUAAUACCGGAUGUGGUCAAGGAUCCGCAUGGAUUUUUGAUUAAAGGGGAAACCCGUUUCGAGAUGGGCCCGCGUCCUAUCAGCUAGUUGGUGAGGUAAAAGCUCACCAAGGCGACGACGGGUAGCCGGCCUGAGAGGGUGACCGGCCACACUGGAACUGAGACACGGUCCAGACUCCUACGGGGGCAGCAGUGGGGAAUCUUCCACAAUGGGCGAAAGCCUGAUGGAGCGACGCCGCGUGAGCGAAGAAGGCCUUCGGGUUGUAAAGCUCUGUCUGGAGGGACGAAGGAAGUGACGGUACCUCCGGAGGAAGCCACGGCUAACUACGUGCCAGCAGCCGCGGUAAACCCACGAGAGUA
Molecule: ribosomal RNA, 511 nt
Filed under: uncultured bacterium
Lineage: Bacteria
Description: bacterial SSU rRNA
Rfam family: Bacterial small subunit ribosomal RNA
Source: RNAcentral